This 216-nucleotide ribosomal RNA is filed under the name Triticum aestivum (bread wheat). RNAcentral describes it as "partial small subunit ribosomal RNA". The record is from RNAcentral. Lineage: Eukaryota; Viridiplantae; Streptophyta; Magnoliopsida; Poales; Poaceae.
AUGAUUCGAACUCUGGUCGAUAUUGGAGAUGAACUUGUAAUGGUUAUGUCUAUUGUCCUGCUUGAUUGGCCCACGUAUGUCGAUGUCGUGUGUGUGCCGGCACACCCAUGGAUCAGCGCGGCUGGCUGCUUAGGCUCCAUCGGCGAGCUUAUGUUUUCAGAGUUCAGCAUUGCAGCAACAUCUGUCAUGGCAGGCCGAUCUGCUGGAUCUUCCUGA